RNAcentral lists this ribosomal RNA (492 nucleotides) under uncultured bacterium. Its description in RNAcentral is "partial 16S ribosomal RNA". It matches the Rfam family "Bacterial small subunit ribosomal RNA", at positions 29 to 507 of the family's 1533-position model. The record is from RNAcentral.
AGUGAACGCUGGCGGUAGGCCUAACACAUGCAAGUCGAACGGCAGCACAGUAAGAGCUUGCUCUUACGGGUGGCGAGUGGCGGACGGGUGAGGAAUACAUCGGAAUCUACUUUUUCGUGGGGGAUAACGUAGGGAAACUUACGCUAAUACCGCAUACGACCUACGGGUGAAAGCAGUGGAUCUUCUGACCUUGCGCGAUUGAAUGAGCCGAUGUCGGAUUAGCUAGUUGGCGGGGUAAAGGCCCACCAAGGCGACGAUCCGUAGCUGGUCUGAGAGGAUGAUCAGCCACACUGGAACUGAGACACGGUCCAGACUCCUACGGGAGGCAGCAGUGGGGAAUAUUGGGCAAUGGGCGCAAGCCUGAUCCAGCCAUACCGCGUGGGUGAAGAAGGCCUUCGGGUUGUAAAGCCCUUUUGUUGGGAAAGAAAAGCAGCAGGUUAAUACCCCGCUGUUCUGACGGUACCCAAAGAAUAAGCACCGGCUAACUUCGUG